This 606-nucleotide ribosomal RNA is filed under the name uncultured bacterium. RNAcentral describes it as "bacterial SSU rRNA". The stretch from base 1 to 518 matches the Rfam family "Bacterial small subunit ribosomal RNA", at positions 338 to 873 of the family's 1533-position model. The record is from RNAcentral.
CCUACGGGAGGCAGCAGUGGGGAAUCUUGCGCAAUGGGCGAAAGCCUGACGCAGCCAUGCCGCGUGAAUGAUGAAGGUCUUAGGAUUGUAAAAUUCUUUCACCGAGGACGAUAAUGACGGUACUCGGAGAAGAAGCCCCGGCUAACUUCGUGCCAGCAGCCGCGGUAAUACGAAGGGGGCUAGCGUUGCUCGGAAUUACUGGGCGUAAAGGGAGCGUAGGCGGAUAGUUUAGUCAGAGGUGAAAGCCCAGGGCUCAACCUUGGAAUUGCCUUUGAUACUGACUAUCUUGAGUACGGAAGAGGUAUGUGGAACUCCGAGUGUAGAGGUGAAAUUCGUAGAUAUUCGGAAGAACACCAGUGGCGAAGGCGACAUACUGGUCCGUUACUGACGCUGAGGCUCGAAAGCGUGGGGAGCAAACAGGAUUAGAUACCCUGGUAGUCCACGCUGUAAACGAUGAGUGCUAGUUGUCGGCAUGCAUGCAUGUCGGUGACGCGAGCUACGACAUAAGACACUCCGCCGUCGGGAGGUACGGUCGCGAGAAGUUAAACGUAACGAAGAAGUUAGACGGACGUGAGACGUGCCGACGGACGACGACGAGGGAGGAGG